ACUCAGUUGGUAGAGUACAAAGAUCUUAACUUUAUGGACGUGGGUUCAAGCCCCAU
Molecule: transfer RNA, 56 nt
Filed under: Triticum aestivum (bread wheat)
Lineage: Eukaryota; Viridiplantae; Streptophyta; Magnoliopsida; Poales; Poaceae
Also listed under: 1 other name
Rfam family: tRNA
About the family: Transfer RNA (tRNA) molecules are approximately 80 nucleotides in length. Their secondary structure includes four short double-helical elements and three loops (D, anti-codon, and T loops).
Source: Rfam by way of RNAcentral